Molecule: non-coding RNA, 246 nt
Organism: Pelobates cultripes (western spadefoot toad)
Lineage: Eukaryota; Metazoa; Chordata; Amphibia; Anura; Pelobatidae
Source: the annotation of a GenBank genome assembly
CGGGUGACACAGUGACAGAGUGAGGGAGCGGGUGACACAGUGACAGAGUUAGGGAGGGAGUGACUAGUGACAGAGAGAGGGAUGGGGUGACUAGUGACAGUCACCCCCCCCCCUCACUCUGUCACCAGUCAUCCCCUCACUCUGUCACUAGUCACCCUUUCCCUCCCUCACUUUGCCACUAGUCAUCUCUUCCCUCCCUCACUCUGCCACUAGUCACCCAUUCCCUCACUCUGUCACUAGUCACCC